RNAcentral lists this ribosomal RNA (252 nucleotides) under uncultured bacterium. RNAcentral's name for it is "partial 16S ribosomal RNA". It matches the Rfam family "Bacterial small subunit ribosomal RNA", at positions 524 to 776 of the family's 1533-position model. The record is from RNAcentral.
UACAGAGGUCUUAAGCGUUGUUCGGAUUCAUUGGGCGUAAAGGUGCGUCGGCGGCGCGGUAAGUCUGGUGUGAAAUCUCGGAGCUUAACUCCGAAACUGCAUUCGAUACUGCCGUGCUUGAGGACUGGAGAGGAGACUGGAAUUUACGGUGUAGCGGUGAAAUGCGUAGAUAUCGUAAGGAAGACCAGUGGCGAAGGCGGGUCUCUGGACAGUUCCUGACGCUGAGGCACGAAGGUCAGGGGAGCAAACGGG